This 405-nucleotide ribosomal RNA is filed under the name uncultured bacterium. Its description in RNAcentral is "bacterial SSU rRNA". It matches the Rfam family "Bacterial small subunit ribosomal RNA", at positions 355 to 776 of the family's 1533-position model. The record is from RNAcentral.
UAAGGAAUCUUUCGCAAUGGGGGCAACCCUGACGAAGCAACACCGCGUGGAGGAUGAAGGCGUUUUCGUCGUAAACUCCUUUUCUGAGGGAAUAAAUCUGAAGGUACCUCAGGAAUAAGCAUCGGCUAACUACGUGCCAGCAGCCGCGGUAAGACGUAGGAUGCAAGCGUUAUCCGGAAUUAUUGGGCGUAAAGCGUUCGUAGGCGGUUUGUUAAGUUGGAUGUCAAAGCCUUGAGCUCAACUCAAGUUAGGUAUUCAAAACUGGCAGACUCGAGACAGGUAGAGGCAAGUGGAAUUCUGUAUGUAGGGGUAAUAUCCGUAGAUAUACAGAGGAACACCAAAAGCGAAGGCAGCUUGCUGGACCUGUUCUGACGCUCAAGAACGAAAGCGUGGGGAGCAAACGGG